This 495-nucleotide ribosomal RNA is filed under the name uncultured bacterium. RNAcentral describes it as "partial 16S ribosomal RNA". It matches the Rfam family "Bacterial small subunit ribosomal RNA", at positions 28 to 507 of the family's 1533-position model. The record is from RNAcentral.
GACGAACGCUGGCGGCGUGCCUAAUACAUGCAAGUAGAACGCUGAAGGAGGAGCUUGCUUCUCUGGAUGAGUUGCGAACGGGUGAGUAACGCGUAGGUAACCUGCCUGGUAGCGGGGGAUAACUAUUGGAAACGAUAGCUAAUACCGCAUAAUAGUAGAUGUUGCAUGACAUUUGCUUAAAAGGUGCAAUUGCAUCACUACCAGAUGGACCUGCGUUGUAUUAGCUAGUUGGUGAGGUAACGGCUCACCAAGGCGACGAUACAUAGCCGACCUGAGAGGGUGAUCGACCACACUGGGACUGAGACACGGCCCAGACUCCUACGGGAGGCAGCAGUAGGGAAUCUUCGGCAAUGGACGGAAGUCUGACCGAGCAACGCCGCGUGAGUGAAGAAGGGUUUCGGAUCGUAAAGCUCUGUUGUAAGAGAAGAACGAGUGUGAGAGUGGAAAGUUCACACUGUGACGGUAUCUUACCAGAAAGGGACGGCUAACUACGUG